Molecule: long non-coding RNA, 419 nt
Organism: Oncorhynchus keta (chum salmon)
Lineage: Eukaryota; Metazoa; Chordata; Actinopteri; Salmoniformes; Salmonidae
Exons: 3
Source: RefSeq, a predicted model, not a curated record
CAGGUAGAAUAGAAGACGUCUUACCCCCAUGUAGAAGAGAAGGUGUCUUACCCCCAGGUAGAAGAGAAGGUGUCUUACCCCCAGGUAGAAUAGAAGACGUCUUACCCCCAGGUAGAAGAGAAGGUCUCUUACCCCCAGGUAGAAGAGAAGACGUCUUACCCCCAGGUAGAAGAGAAGACAUCUUACCCCCAGGUAGAAUAGAAGGUGUCUUACCCCCAGGUAGAAGAGAAGGUGUCUUACCCCCAGGUAGAAGAGAAGACGUCUUACCCCCAGGUAGAAGAGAAGGUGUCUUACCCCCAGGUAGAAGAGAAGACGUCUUACCCCCAGGUAGAAGAGAAGGUGUCUUACCCCCAGGUAGAAGAGAAGGCGUCUUACCCCCAGGUAGAAGAGAAGACAUCUUACCCCCAGGUAGAAGAGAA